This 459-nucleotide ribosomal RNA is filed under the name uncultured bacterium. RNAcentral's name for it is "partial 16S ribosomal RNA". It matches the Rfam family "Bacterial small subunit ribosomal RNA", at positions 28 to 507 of the family's 1533-position model. The record is from RNAcentral.
GAUGAACGCUGGCGGCGCGCCUAACACAUGCAAGUCGAACGGCACCCCUCCUCGGAGGGCAGCGAGUGGCGAACGGCUGAGUAACACGUGGAGAACCUGCCCCCUCCCCCGGGAUAGCCGCCCGAAAGGACGGGUAAUACCGGAUACCCCGGGGUGCCGCAUGGCACCCCGGCUAAAGCCCCGACGGGAGGGGAUGGCUCCGCGGCCCAUCAGGUAGACGGCGGGGUGACGGCCCACCGUGCCGACAACGGGUAGCCGGGUUGAGAGACCGACCGGCCAGAUUGGGACGGAGACACGGCCCAGACUCCUACGGGAGGCAGCAGUGGGGAAUCUUGCGCAAGGGGGGGAACCCUGACGCAGCGACGCCGCGUGCGGGACGGAGGCCUUCGGGUCGUAAACCGCUUUCAGCAGGGAAGAGUCAAGACUGUACCUGCAGAAGAAGCCCCGGCUAACUACGUG